UACGAAGGGGGCUAGCGUUGUUCGGAAUUACUGGGCGUAAAGCGCGCGCAGGCGGUUCUUCAAGUCAGAGGUGAAAGCCCCGAGCUCAACUCGGGAAUUGCCUUUGAGACUGGGGGACUUGGGUACGGGAGAGGUGAGUGGAAUUCCGAGUGUAGAGGUGAAAUUCGUAGAUAUUCGGAAGAACACCAGUGGCGAAGGCGGCUCACUGGCCCGUUACCGACGCUCAGGCGCGACAGCGUGGGGAUCAAACAGG
RNAcentral lists this ribosomal RNA (253 nucleotides) under uncultured bacterium. RNAcentral describes it as "partial 16S ribosomal RNA". It matches the Rfam family "Bacterial small subunit ribosomal RNA", at positions 524 to 776 of the family's 1533-position model. The record is from RNAcentral.